This 458-nucleotide ribosomal RNA is filed under the name uncultured bacterium. RNAcentral describes it as "partial 16S ribosomal RNA". It matches the Rfam family "Bacterial small subunit ribosomal RNA", at positions 338 to 795 of the family's 1533-position model. The record is from RNAcentral.
CCUACGGGAGGCAGCAGUGAGGAAUAUUGGUCAAUGGGCGAGAGCCUGAACCAGCCAAGUCGCGUGAGGGAGUACUGCCCUAUGGGUUGUAAACCUCUUUUGUCGGGGAGCAAAAGCCGGACGUGUCCGGCUGUGAGAGUACCCGAAGAAAAAGCAUCAGCUAACUCCGUGCCAGCAGCCACGGUAAUACGGAGGAUGCGAGCGUUAUCCGGAUUUAUUGGGUUUAAAGGGUGCGCAGGCGGAUUUUUAAGUCAGCGGUAAAAUCGUGGGGCUCAACCCCAUCCAGCCGUUGAAACUGGGGAUCUAGAGUGUGCGAGAGGUAUGCGGAAUGCGUGGUGUAGCGGUGAAAUGCAUAGAUAUCACGCAGAACCCCGAUUGCGAAGGCAGCAUACCGGUGCACAACUGACGCUCAGGCACGAAAGCGUGGGUAUCGAACAGGAUUAGAUACCCCUGUAGUC